Schistosoma mansoni is the source of this 45-nucleotide non-coding RNA. The record is from Rfam. NCBI's taxonomy places the organism in Eukaryota, Metazoa, Platyhelminthes, Trematoda, Strigeidida, Schistosomatidae.
AUCCAGCUGGUGAGUCCCAAAUAGGACAGAACGCGUGUCCUGGAU